RNAcentral lists this non-coding RNA (23 nucleotides) under Arabidopsis thaliana (thale cress). Lineage: Eukaryota; Viridiplantae; Streptophyta; Magnoliopsida; Brassicales; Brassicaceae. The record is from RNAcentral.
AAGGACCAGACACUUUGCAUUCU